Molecule: ribosomal RNA, 393 nt
Filed under: uncultured fungus
Lineage: Eukaryota; Fungi
Description: SSU rRNA
Rfam family: Eukaryotic small subunit ribosomal RNA
Source: RNAcentral
UAAGUCUGGUGCCAGCAGCCGCGGUAAUUCCAGCUCCAAUAGCGUAUAUUAAAGUUGUUGCAGUUAAAAAGCUCGUAGUUGAACUUUGGGCUUGGUCAGCCGGUCCGCUUUUUUGCGUGUACUGGUCCUGACCGAGCCUUUCCUUCUGGCUAACCUGUCUCUCGGGGCAGGCGAACCAGGACUUUUACUUUGAAAAAAUUAGAGUGUUCAAAGCAGGCCUUUGCUCGAAUAUAUUAGCAUGGAAUAAUAGAAUAGGACGUUUGGUUCUAUUUUGUUGGUUUCUAGGACCAUCGUAAUGAUUAAUAGGAACGGUCGGGGGCAUCAGUAUUCAAUUGUCAGAGGUGAAAUUCUUGGAUUUAUUGAAGACUAACUACUGCGAAAGCAUUUGCCAAA